CCCUACGGGGUGCAGCAGGCGGAAUGAUAAGUCAGUGGUGAAAUCCUACGGCUCAACUGUAGAACUGCCCUUGAUACUGUUGUUCUUGAGUACACUUGGAGUGGGCGGACUGUGUCAUGUAGCGGUGAAAUGCUUAGAUAUGACACAGAACACCGAUCGCGAAGGCAGCUCACUAAGUUGUAAGUGACGCUCAGGCACGAAAGCGUGGGGAUCAAACA
Molecule: ribosomal RNA, 218 nt
Filed under: uncultured prokaryote
Description: partial 16S ribosomal RNA
Rfam family: Bacterial small subunit ribosomal RNA
Source: RNAcentral